UUCAUAACUCAUUGUAUAGGUUACCAUUCCAAUGUAGAUGAGUUAAAAAAUUUAAACUUGACUUAAUCCACUUACAAAAAAGUAGAAUUUCCAGAUCAUUUCACACGUUUGGAACAACAAGAGGAUUGAAAUAACCUACUCCAUGAAGGAAAAGAGUGCUUUUUAGGGCUGGUACGUGUCGGUGGCCAGCAGCAACCGGCGACGGUUACGCACGAGCAUGUGUCGGUGAAUUCCGUACGAAUGCACACCUUGUCGGUGAACGUUUCGUAUUGAAAAAACGGACAUGGUUGAUCACGGGAUGCCAUUGUUGGGGUUGGAAAUUGGGGAAAGAAGCCAUGGGCACCGUGCGGGGAAUGUUGGAUCGGAUCAGCGGCGCUUCCCAGCACAUGAAUGGCCGAGUGUAGGUCACACCACCCGAGAAAGCCAAACCGGAGAGCGAGGGUAGCUCUGACAAAUCCAACAAGAACAAGGCGAAGCAACCCACUCCUCGUAAGGAUGCAAAAGCAACAGAUUCAGAGAAGUCGAAAGGAUCUGCUGACUCCACCACGAGCAAAGAGAAGAAAGAGGUUAAGCGAAGUAAACCUCCACCGAAGAAAGGUAAGUAGAACUUCAAUGGACAUGCUGAAACCGCUGGAUUGUGCAACAUUCAACAUAGCGAUGGAUAUCCUGAACAAAAACGAAGUGUAACCCACUAGCAAUAAGACGAGAAAUACCGCCAGUAGUCGAUCCUGAGACUGAGAAGAUUUGGCUUGAGGUGAAUGGGAAGCAGCAUUUCUAUGUAGAAAAAGUCUUUACACACACACAUCUUUCAAUUGAAAGACUGCCACACCGAAAAGCUGUGCUGAGCUUACAAUCUCUUCGUCAAGUUGCAGAAUGGCAGAAGCCUUGCAAGUAGGUUUCAUGCAUCUCAAUGUUUCCAAACACAAGGAGCUAAAUAACAAUCGACUUAUACAUAGAAUCCUCUUUUCUGAAGAACAUAUUUUAAAAUGAGUUUAGAAUGAUCUGAAUGUUAAAACUAUCCCUUCCUGAAAUUGAUGACUGGACCACCAGUGUGGUUAUAUUAUAUUAUUUUUCAUUAAGCCAUAAUAAAUUUAGAAUACAUUAUGAAUGUGCA
This is a non-coding RNA of Physcomitrium patens, 1114 nucleotides long. Lineage: Eukaryota; Viridiplantae; Streptophyta; Bryopsida; Funariales; Funariaceae. The record is from RefSeq and is a predicted model, not a curated record.